Molecule: ribosomal RNA, 1690 nt
Filed under: Bacillus cereus
Lineage: Bacteria; Bacillati; Bacillota; Bacilli; Caryophanales; Bacillaceae
Description: partial 16S ribosomal RNA
Rfam family: Bacterial small subunit ribosomal RNA
Source: RNAcentral
ACACUAUAGAAUACUCAAGCUAUGCAUCCAACGCGUUGGGAGCUCUCCCAUAUGGUCGACCUGCAGGCGGCCGCGAAUUCACUAGUGAUUGGGAUCGCCCUUAGAGUUUGAUCCUGGCUCAGGACGAACGCUGGCGGCGUGCCUAAUACAUGCAAGUCGAGCGGACCUUGGCGAUCUUCGGAUCGCUCUGGGUUAGCGGCGGACGGGUGAGUAACACGUAGGCAACCUGCCCUCAAGACUGGGAUAACUACCGGAAACGGUAGCUAAUACCGGAUAAUUCAUGCUGCUGCAUGGCGGUGUGAUGAAAGACGGAGCAAUCUGUCACUUGAGGAUGGGCCUGCGGCGCAUUAGCUAGUUGGUGGGGUAACGGCCUACCAAGGCGACGAUGCGUAGCCGACCUGAGAGGGUGAUCGGCCACACUGGGACUGAGACACGGCCCAGACUCCUACGGGAGGCAGCAGUAGGGAAUCUUCCGCAAUGGGCGAAAGCCUGACGGAGCAACGCCGCGUGAGUGAUGAAGGUUUUCGGAUCGUAAAGCUCUGUUGCCAGGGAAGAACGUCUCUUGGAGUAACUGCCAAGAGAGUGACGGUACCUGAGAAGAAAGCCCCGGCUAACUACGUGCCAGCAGCCGCGGUAAUACGUAGGGGGCAAGCGUUGUCCGGAAUUAUUGGGCGUAAAGCGCGCGCAGGCGGCUGUUUAAGUCUGGUGUUUAAGCCCGGGGCUCAACCCCGGUUCGCACUGGAAACUGGAUAGCUUGAGUGCAGAAGAGGAGAGUGGAAUUCCACGUGUAGCGGUGAAAUGCGUAGAGAUGUGGAGGAACACCAGUGGCGAAGCGACUCUCUGGGCUGUAACUGACGCUGAGGCGCGAAAGCGUGGGGAGCAAACAGGAUUAGAUACCCUUGGUAGUCCCACGCCGUAAACGAUGAGUGCUAGGUGUUAGGGGUUUCGAUACCCUUGGUGCCGAAGUUAACACAUUAAGCACUCCGCCUGGGGAGUACGGUCGCAAGACUGAAACUCAAAGGAAUUGACGGGGACCCGCACAAGCAGUGGAGUAUGUGGUUUAAUUCGAAGCAACGCGAAGAACCUUACCAGGUCUUGACAUCCCUCUGACCGGUCUAGAGAUAGAUCUUUCCUUCGGGACAGAGGAGACAGGUGGUGCAUGGUUGUCGUCAGCUCGUGUCGUGAGAUGUUGGGUUAAGUCCCGCAACGAGCGCAACCCUUGAUCUUAGUUGCCAGCAUGUGAUGGUGGGCACUCUAAGGUGACUGCUGGUGACAAACCGGAGGAAGGUGGGGAUGACGUCAAAUCAUCAUGCCCCUUAUGACCUGGGCUACACACGUACUACAAUGGCCGGUACAACGGGAAGCGAAGUCGCGAGAUGGAGCGAAUCCUCAAAAGCCGGUCUCAGUUCGGAUUGCAGGCUGCAACUCGCCUGCAUGAAGUCGGAAUUGCUAGUAAUCGCGGAUCAGCAUGCCGCGGUGAAUACGUUCCCGGGUCUUGUACACACCGCCCGUCACACCACGAGAGUUUACAACACCCGAAGUCGGUGGGGUAACCGCAAGGGGCCAGCCGCCGAAGGUGGGGUAGAUGAUUGGGGUGAAGUCGUAACAAGGUAGCCGUAAAGGGCGAUCCAAUCGAAUUCCCGCGGCCGCCAUGGCGGCCGGGAGCAUGCGACGUCGGGCCCAAUUCGCC